ACCCUAAAGACGAGGAUAACCAUUGGAAACAGUGGCUAAGACUGGAUAGGAAGAUAAAAGGCAUCUUUUAUCUUUUAAAAGACCUAGUAAUAGGUAUGCUUUAGGAGGGGCUUGCGCCAUAUUAGUUAGUUGGUAGGGUAAUGGCCUACCAAGACGAUGAUGUGUAGCUGGACUGAGAGGUUGAACAGCCACAUUGGGACUGAGACACGGCCCAAACUCCUACGGGAGGCAGCAGUAGGGAAUUUUCGGCAAUGGAGGAAACUCUGACCGAGCAACGCCGCGUGAAUGACGAAGUACUUCGGUAUGUAAAGUUCUUUUAUCAAGGAAGAAAAGCAAAUGGCGAACCAUUUGUUUGCCGGUACUUGAUGAAUAAGCCCCGGCUAAUUAUGUGCCAGCAGCCGCGGUAAGACAUAAGGGGCAAGUGUUAUCCGGAAUUAUUGGGCGUAAAGGGUGCGUAGGCGGUCUAGUAAGUCAGUGGUGUAAUGGCAACGCUUAACGUUGUCCGGCUAUUGAAACUGCUAAACUUGAGUUAGAUAGAGGCGAGUGGAAUUCCAUGUGUAGCGGUAAAAUGCGUAAAUAUAUGGAGGAACACCAGAGGCGUAGGCGGCUCGCUGGGUCUUAACUGACGCUGAGGCACGAAAGCGUGGGGAGCAAACAGGAUUAGAUACCCUGGUAGUCCACGCCGUAAACGAUGAGUACUAAGUGUCGGGUUAAACCGGUACUGAAGUUAACACAUUAAGUACUCCGCCUGAGUAGUACGUACGCAAGUAUGAAACUUAAAGGAAUUGACGGGACUCCGCACAAGCGGUGGAUCAUGUUGUUUAAUUCGAAGAUACCCGAAAAACCUUACCAGGUCUUGACAUGUUUUUGCAAAAUGAUAGUAAUAUCGUGGAGGUUACCAGAAACACAGGUGGUGCAUGGUUGUCGUCAGCUCGUGUCGUGAGAUGUUAGGUUAAGUCCUAAAACGAGCGAAACCCUUAUCGUUAGUUGCCAGCACGUUAUGGUGGGGACUUUAACGAGACUGCCAAUGAUAAAUUGGAGGAAGGUGAGGAUCACGUCAAAUCAGCAUGCCCCUUAUGACCUGGGCUACAAACGUGAUACAAUGGCUGUUACAAAGGGUAGCUGAAACGCAAGUUCUUGGCCAAUCCCCAAAAACAGUCCCAGUCCGGAUUGAAGUCUGCAACUCGACUUCAUGAAGUUGGAAUCGCUAGUAAUCGCGAAUCAGCAUGUCGCGGUGAUAA
Molecule: ribosomal RNA, 1241 nt
Filed under: Candidatus Phytoplasma australasiaticum
Lineage: Bacteria; Bacillati; Mycoplasmatota; Mollicutes; Acholeplasmatales; Acholeplasmataceae
Description: bacterial SSU rRNA
Rfam family: Bacterial small subunit ribosomal RNA
Source: RNAcentral